GUCUUUUCGGGCCGGCCCAUCCGCCUCUUUCCUUUUUUUUUUUUUGUUUCCGGGUAUUACAUACUCUCCCCCUUAAAAAAAAUUUCGUCCUCGAAAUUAACUUACUUAAAGCCUCAAACUUUAAAAAUAUGCAUCCAUUAUAUCAUCCCCGAGAUCUCAAAUAGUCUCCCUCUUGGAGUACCUACUCACAAGAUUUUGACAUACAAAAAUCACAGCAUCUCAAAACUUGAUCCUUUUUAUUUACCACACAUAGUAAGUUCUUUUGAUCUCCUUCAAAAGAAUUCCAAACUCCCAACCUUAGAUUAAAAUGCCAUAAUUAUAUCCCAAGAAAUUAAUUUCUCUUGAUUCUACACAGAGAUCAUAAUUGGCUUGACAGCAAUAGGAGAAAUCUUUAGUAUCAAAUGCUCUUAAUAUUCUAUAAUCAUUUUUCUUUUCUUUCUCCCACAUCAUUCCAACAAAUAAGAGAUCCAUAGAAUCAACAACAUUCUCCUGAAACUAACUCAAGUAUUUCAUCAUAAUGCCUUUUAGAUCAAAUAUUAAUGAUCUUAACCAGUUUCAAAAUAAGUCAAACCACCACACUUCCGCUGCGCACUCUGAUCUAACUCAUCAAAUUCUCUAAAGUCACAAAAUGAUUUCUGUCCAAAGUAUCACUUUGCAUCGAGACUAACAAAAUCCAAAUUUUAAAUUUUCAAGUAGAACUAGAGCAAAACCUCUAGAUCUUUUUGUUCUCGAUUUAUAUAGAGUAUACUUACCAUAACUAAUUCCCAAUUCUUUAGUCAAGUUUAAGGUCACUACAUGAUCUCCACAACCUUUUUAGAACCCAAAAUAUCUAAGUUUAAUUUAAAGGGGUAAUUCUUGUAUUCCCUUUGCAAUGUAAUUAGAAAAGCUACAUUGAUUUUCCUUCC
Molecule: long non-coding RNA, 905 nt
Filed under: Phoenix dactylifera (date palm)
Lineage: Eukaryota; Viridiplantae; Streptophyta; Magnoliopsida; Arecales; Arecaceae
Description: long non-coding RNA (PDAC_LNC017111)
Source: RNAcentral